Molecule: ribosomal RNA, 789 nt
Filed under: uncultured Methanomicrobiales archaeon
Lineage: Archaea; Methanobacteriati; Methanobacteriota; Methanomicrobia; Methanomicrobiales
Description: bacterial SSU rRNA
Rfam family: Archaeal small subunit ribosomal RNA
Source: RNAcentral
ACUGCUCAGUAACACGUGGACAACCUACCCUGUGGAGGGGGAUAACCCCGGAAAACUGGGGAUAAUACCCCAUAGGUUAGGGUGGCUGGAAUGCCCCCUAGCUCAAAGGUCCGCCGCCACAGGAUGGGUCUGCGGCCGAUUAGGUUGUUGUUGGGGUAACGGCCCAACAAGCCUUUGAUCGGUACGGGUUGUGGGAGCAAGAGCCCGGAGAUGGAUUCUGAGACACGAAUCCAGGCCCUACGGGGCGCAGCAGGCGCGAAAACUUUACAAUGCGAGAAAUCGUGAUAAGGGAACCCCGAGUGCCCGUAAAUUCGGGCUGUCCGCCAGUGCAAAAAACUGGUGAAGAAAGAGCCGGGCAAGACCGGUGCCAGCCGCCGCGGUAAUACCGGCGGCUCGAGUGGUGGCCACUAUUACUGGGCUUAAAGCGUCCGUAGCUUGGUUGUUAAGUCUCCUGGGAAAUCCAUCGGCUCAACCGAUGGGCGUUCAGGAGAUACUGGCAACCUAGGGACCGGGAGAGGUGAGAGGUACUCCAGGGGUAGGAGUGAAAUCCUGUAAUCCUUGGGGGACCACCUGUGGCGAAGGCGUCUCACUAGAACGGCUCCGACAGUGAGGGACGAAAGCUGGGGGAGCAAACCGGAUUAGAUACCCGGGUAGUCCCAGCUGUAAACGAUGCGCGUUAGGUGUAUCGGUGACCACGAGUCACCGAGGUGCCGAAGGGAAACCGUGAAACGUGCCGCCUGGGAAGUACGGUCGCAAGGCUGAAACUUAAAGGAAUUGGCGGGGGAGCAC